This 209-nucleotide ribosomal RNA is filed under the name uncultured bacterium. RNAcentral's name for it is "partial 16S ribosomal RNA". It matches the Rfam family "Bacterial small subunit ribosomal RNA", at positions 1292 to 1500 of the family's 1533-position model. The record is from RNAcentral.
UUCGGAUUGUAGUCUGCAACCCGACUACAUGAAGCCGGAAUCGCUAGUAAUCGCGGAUCAGAAUGCCGCGGUGAAUACGUUCCCGGGUCUUGUACACACCGCCCGUCACACCAUGGGAGUCGGAAAUGCCCGAAGUCUGUGACCCAACCGCGAGGAGGGAGCAGCCGAAGGCAGGUCGGAUGACUGGGGUGAAGUCGUAACAAGGUAGC